This 253-nucleotide ribosomal RNA is filed under the name uncultured bacterium. RNAcentral's name for it is "partial 16S ribosomal RNA". It matches the Rfam family "Bacterial small subunit ribosomal RNA", at positions 524 to 776 of the family's 1533-position model. The record is from RNAcentral.
UACGUAGGUGGCGAGCGUUGUCCGGAUUUACUGGGCGUAAAGAGCGCGCAGGCGGUAUGACAAGUCAGAUGUGAAAGAGGCCGGCUUAACCGGCAAGGGUCAUUUGAAACUGUCAGACUAGAGUGCAGCAGAGGAUAGUGGAAUUCCCGGUGUAGUGGUGAAAUGCGUAGAUAUCGGGAGGAACACCAGUGGCGAAGGCGACUAUCUGGGCUGCAACUGACGCUGAGGCGCGAAGGCUAGGGUAGCAAACAGG